Molecule: ribosomal RNA, 499 nt
Filed under: uncultured Glomeromycotina
Lineage: Eukaryota; Fungi; Glomeromycota
Description: partial small subunit ribosomal RNA
Rfam family: Eukaryotic small subunit ribosomal RNA
Source: RNAcentral
CCAAUAGCGUAUAUUAAAGUUGUUGCAGUUAAAAAGCUCGUAGUUGAAUUUUGGAUUCUUCCAAUUGGUCCAUCUUUUAGAUGAGUACUGGUUGUGUGGGGUCUAUCCGCCUGGUGAUACGUAAUGUCCUUUAUUGGAUGUUGCGGGUAGUCAGGACCUUUACCUUGAAAAAAUUAGAGUGUUUAAAGCAGGCUUAUGCCGGAAUACAUUAGCAUGGAAUAAUAGAAUAGGACGAAGUUGUUUUAUUUUGUUGGUUUCUAGGACAACCGUAAUGAUUAAUAGGGAUAGUUGGGGGCAUUAGUAUUCAAUUGUCAGAGGUGAAAUUCUUGGAUUAAUUGAAGACUAACUACUGCGAAAGCAUUUGCCAAGGAUGUUUUCAUUAAUCAAGAACGAAAGUUAGGGGAUCGAAGACGAUCAGAUACCGUCGUAGUCUUAACCAUAAACUAUGCCGACUAGGGAUCGGGCGAUGUUGUUUCCAUGACUCGCUCGGCACCUUAUG